Molecule: unclassified non-coding RNA, 218 nt
Filed under: uncultured archaeon
Lineage: Archaea
Description: 16S-23S ribosomal RNA intergenic spacer
Source: RNAcentral
AAGCAAAAAACUCACCACCCAGAUGCCGAUAAACCGAAACAAAAUCCUCAAACCAUUAAAAUAAUCGAUCAUAAUUCUAUGAUCAAUUCAAACUCAUCAAAUGCACCCGGGAAGUAAAUUUCCGGGGAAGGGCGGAUUGCCUGCGUUGACACGCAGGUACAUGAAGUCAUGUACAGGUGCUGUAUACUGGACGCUUACUGGACCUGGUUAGGAUACAC